ACGCUAGCGGCAGGCCUAAUACAUGCAAGUCGGAUGGGAUUCAGGGAGUAGCUUGCUACGAACUGAUGAGAGUGGCGCACGGGUGCGUAACGCGUGAGCAACCUACCCAUAUCAGGGGGAUAGCCUCUCGAAAGAGAGAUUAACACCGCAUAACAUCAUUUACCGGCAUCGGUUGAUGAUCAAAUAUUUAUAGGAUAUGGAUGGGCUCGCGUGACAUUAGCUAGUUGGAGGGGUAACGGCCCACCAAGGCUACGAUGUCUAGGGGCUCUGAGAGGAGAAUCCCCCACACUGGUACUGAGACACGGACCAGACUCCUACGGGAGGCAGCAGUAAGGAAUAUUGGUCAAUGGAGGGAACUCUGAACCAGCCAUGCCGCGUGCAGGAUGACUGCCCUAUGGGUUGUAAACUGCUUUUGUCAGGGAAUAAACCUUUCCACGUGUGGAAGCUGAAUGUACCUGAAGAAUAAGGAUCGGCUAACUCCGUGCCAGCAGCCGCGGUAAUACGGAGGAUCCAAGCGUUAUCCGGAUUUAUUGGGUUUAAAGGGUGCGUAGGCGGUCCUAUAAGUCAGUGGUGAAAGACGGCAGUUUAACUGUCGCAGUGCCUUUGAUACUGUAGGACUUGAAUCUAUUUGAAGUGGGCGGAAUAAGACAAGUAGCGGUGAAAUGCAUAGAUAUGUCUUAGAACUCCGAUUGCGAAGGCAGCUCACUAAGUUAGUAUUGACGCUGAUGCACGAAAGCGUGGGGAUCAAAC
This 750-nucleotide ribosomal RNA is filed under the name uncultured bacterium. RNAcentral describes it as "bacterial SSU rRNA". It matches the Rfam family "Bacterial small subunit ribosomal RNA", at positions 33 to 773 of the family's 1533-position model. The record is from RNAcentral.